RNAcentral lists this ribosomal RNA (315 nucleotides) under uncultured bacterium. RNAcentral describes it as "bacterial SSU rRNA". It matches the Rfam family "Bacterial small subunit ribosomal RNA", at positions 29 to 333 of the family's 1533-position model. The record is from RNAcentral.
AAUGAACGCUGGCGGCGCGCCUAAUACAUGCAAGUCGAGCGAGAAGACGUAGCAAUACGUUUGUAAAGCGGCGAACGGGUGAGGAAUACAUGGGUAACCUACCCUCGAGUGGGGAAUAACUAGCCGAAAGGUUAGCUAAUACCGCGUACGCUUCUUGGACUUCGGUUCAGGGAGGAAAGCGAUGCCGAGGGUAUCGCGCUCUUGGAUGGGCUCAUGUCCUAUCAGCUUGUUGGNGAGGUAACGGCUCACCAAGGCUUCGACGGGUAGCUGGUCUGAGAGGACGAUCAGCCACACUGGCACUGCGACACGGGGCCA